This is a non-coding RNA of Acanthosepion pharaonis, 111 nucleotides long. Lineage: Eukaryota; Metazoa; Mollusca; Cephalopoda; Sepiida; Sepiidae. The record is from the annotation of a GenBank genome assembly.
GGUUACAUCGCGUUGAAACAUCGGUUCCCGUACGUUCAUCGAAGUUAAGCAAGAUCGAGCCUUAUCAGUACCUAGAUAGGUGACUAUUUGGGAAUAACAAGAUGCUGUAAG